UGGGGGAUAUUGCGCAAUGGGGGCAACCCUGACGCAGCAACGCCGCGUGAAGGAUGAAGGUUUUCGGAUUGUAAACUUCUUUUAUUAAGGACGAAAAAUGACGGUACUUAAUGAAUAAGCUCCGGCUAACUACGUGCCAGCAGCCGCGGUAAUACGUAGGGAGCAAGCGUUGUCCGGAUUUACUGGGUGUAAAGGGUGCGUAGGCGGCUUUGCAAGUCAGAUGUGAAAUCUAUGGGCUCAGCCCAUAAACUGCAUUUGAAACUGUAGAGCUUGAGUGAAGUAGAGGCAGGCGGAAUUCCCCGUGUAGCGGUGAAAUGCGUAGAGAUGGGGAGGAACACCAGUGGCGAAGGCGGCCUGCUGGGCUUUAACUGACGCUGAGGCACGAAAGCGUGGGUAGCAAACAGGAUUAGAUACCCUGGUAGUCCACGCUGUAAACGAUGAUUACUAGGUGUGGGGGGUCUGACCCCUUCCGUGCCGGAGUUAACACAAUAAGUAAUCCACCUGGGGAGUACGGCCGCAAGGUUGAAACUCAAAGGAAUUGACGGGGGCCCGCACAAGCAGUGGAGUAUGUGGUUUAAUUCGAAGCAACGCGAAGAACCUUACCAGGUCUUGACAUCCAACUAACGAAGUAGAGAUACAUUAGGUGCCCUUCGGGGAAAGUUGAGACAGGUGGUGCAUGGUUGUCGUCAGCUCGUGUCGUGAGAUGUUGGGUUAAGUCCCGCAACGAGCGCAACCCUUGCUAUUAGUUGCUACGCAAGAGCACUCUAAUAGGACUGCCGUUGACAAAACGGAGGAAGGUGGGGACGACGUCAAAUCAUCAUGCCCCUUAUGACCUGGGCUACACACGUACUACAAUGGAUGUUAACAGAGGGAAGCAAGACAGCGAUGUGGAGCAAACCCCUAAAAACAUUCUCAGUUCAGAUUGCAGGCUGCAACCCGCCUGCAUGAAGAUGGAAUUGCUAGUAAUCGCGGAUCAGCAUGCCGCGGUGAAUACGUUCCC
RNAcentral lists this ribosomal RNA (1000 nucleotides) under uncultured organism. Its description in RNAcentral is "bacterial SSU rRNA". It matches the Rfam family "Bacterial small subunit ribosomal RNA", at positions 355 to 1375 of the family's 1533-position model. The record is from RNAcentral.